GUGUAGUGUUGGAGCACCCCUGUUUUCGCAUUAGCAAUUCCCUGUGCCUCUCCUCCUCCCCAGGCGCAGAGAGGCACGCAGGCAAACAACACUCUAUCUGCAACCCGGUUACCACUGCGAGCAACUACAGCUUUUUGUUUAACUGUAUAAUUGCUCUCUCGGUGGGUUGUGGGUUUUCUUUUCCCCAUCUCCAUUUGUUUUCUUAAUAAUUAAGACCAGUAUAUUUAAAUGGUCCUUUUUUUUCUCUUUUUUUUUUUUUUUUUUUUUUUUCCUUAACAAGUAUACCGGAUGUAACAAGAUAGGCAGCUAAAAACAUUAAUCAUAUUAAAACUAAUUAAAAACUGAAAAGUUUCUGUGCAUUCCAAGCACUGGGGGUGGGAGGGGGCGGGGAGGCCUUUGGUCUGAGCACUGGCGUUUCCUGAGCGCAAGCAAAUGCCUGACACAUGGACUUCACCGAAUUCCAAAAUGUAGCAAAACAGUGCCUGCAUAUUUGGCAGGAAUCACCACCAGUUCAGCAGUGCAGCCCUUCUGGUCACAGCAAAAGCAGGAGUUCUAAGACAGUAGCUGCUUUGCUGCAUGGAAUGGCUGAGUAGCUUUAGACAAAACAGUGUCCAGGAACCUGCUGUGAACUUGUCUCUACUAGUUUGCACUGGGAACGACAGGUACUUUUGCUGGAGCUGCCCUACAGUGAGCGAUGCUGGGAGGAAGGGCAGGUUAGGAGAAAAGGGGUGCUAA
RNAcentral lists this long non-coding RNA (735 nucleotides) under Cyanistes caeruleus (blue tit). RNAcentral describes it as "lncRNA (ENSCCEG00000013551.1)". The record is from RNAcentral. Lineage: Eukaryota; Metazoa; Chordata; Aves; Passeriformes; Paridae.